Molecule: ribosomal RNA, 1316 nt
Filed under: Apocrypta bakeri
Lineage: Eukaryota; Metazoa; Arthropoda; Insecta; Hymenoptera; Pteromalidae
Description: 16S ribosomal RNA
Source: RNAcentral
AAAAAAUAAUAAAUAAAUUUUUUUGAAUUUUUUUUUUAUUAAUUAAAAUAAUAAUAAAUUUAAUUAAUUUUUAGUAAUUAAAUUAAAAAAAAUAUAAAUUUUAUAAUUAAAGUAUUGAAAAAGAAAUUUUUAUUAUAUUAAAAAUUAAAUUAUUUAAUUUUUACCUUUUGUAUCAGGGUUGAUUAAAUUUAAAAAAUUAAUAAAUUUUUAUUUCGAAACAAAUUGAUCUAAAUUUUUAUAAUAGUUAAUGUGAAAUUAUUAUUAUUAAUAUUAAUUUAGAAGUAAAAGGUCUACCAUAAUUUGUUAUAUCUAAUUAUUUUAUAAAUAAAUUUAAUUUAGUUAAAAUUUUUUAUAAAUUAAUUAAUUAUUUAAUUAAUUUAAUAAUUUUAAUAAAAUUAUUAGGGUUAAACUUAAUAAUUAUUUUAAUAUAAAUUUUUAUAAUUUAUUAUUUUUAUAAAAAUAAUAAUUUUUAUUAAUAAAUAAUUUGUAAUAAUUAAUAAUUAAAUAAAUAUAAUUUAAUAAAUUAUUUAAUUAAUUAUAAAAUUAAUAAUUUUAAUAAUUUAAAAAUUGAAAUUAUGAUUAAAUUAGUAAAUUAUUUUAAAUUAAAAAUUUUAAAAUUUGUUAGAUUAUUUUAAGGAAUUAGGCAAAAAUUUUUAUUCACCUGUUUAUUAAAAACAUGGUUUUUUGAUUAUAAUUUAAAAUCUAAUCUGCUCAAUGAAUAUUUUAAAUAGCUGCAGUAUUUUGACUGUACAAAGGUAGCAUAAUCAAUUGUCUUUUUAUUAAAGUCUGGAAUGAAAGAUUGAAUGAAAUAAAAUCUGUCUCAAUAUAAUUAAUUUUUGAAUUUAAUUAUUAGUAAAAAUUCUAAUAAUUAUUUAAAAGACGAGAAGACCCUAUAGAAUUUUAUAAAUUUUUUUAUUAAGUUUACUAAAUUUAAUAAAUUUAAUAUUUAAUUUAUUUGAUUGGGGGGAUCAAAAAAUUUAAUUAAUUUUUUUAAUAAUUAAACAAAAAUAUUUGAUUUAUUAUUUUUUUGUUUCCAAAAUUUUUGAAUUUAAAUUAAAUUACCUUAGGGAUAACAGCGUUAAAUUUUUUGAGAGUUCAUAUUGAUAAAAAUUUUUGCGACCUCGAUGUUGAAUUAAAAUAAAUUAUUAUUGUAGGGGAUAAUAUAAUUUAGUCUGUUCGACUAUUAAAAUUUUACAUGAUUUGAGUUUAGAUCGGCGUGAGCCAGAUCGGAUUCUAUCUUUAAAUAAAUAUAAUAUUUUUGUACGAAAGGACUUAAUAUUAGUAAUAAUUAUUAUAAAUUGAAUUAAUUUAAUAUA